Molecule: ribosomal RNA, 495 nt
Filed under: uncultured bacterium
Lineage: Bacteria
Description: partial 16S ribosomal RNA
Rfam family: Bacterial small subunit ribosomal RNA
Source: RNAcentral
GACGAACGCUGGCGGCGUGCCUAAUACAUGCAAGUAGAACGCUGAAGGAGGAGCUUGCUUCUCUGGAUGAGUUGCGAACGGGUGAGUAACGCGUAGGUAACCUGCCUGGUAGCGGGGGAUAACUAUUGGAAACGAUAGCUAAUACCGCAUAAGAGUAGAUGUUGCAUGACAUUUGCUUAAAAGGUGCAAUUGCAUCACUACCAGAUGGACCUGCGUUGUAUUAGCUAGUUGGUGAGGUAACGGCUCACCAAGGCGACGAUACAUAGCCGACCUGAGAGGGGGAUCGGCCACACUGGGACUGAGACACGGCCCAGACUCCUACGGGAGGCAGCAGUAGGGAAUCUUCGGCAAUGGACGGAAGUCUGACCGAGCAACGCCGCGUGAGUGAAGAAGGUUUUCGGAUCGUAAAGCUCUGUUGUAAGAGAAGAACGAGUGUGAGAGUGGAAAGUUCACACUGUGACGGUAGCUUACCAGAAAGGGACGGCUAACUACGUG